UACGGGAGGCAGCAGUGGGGAAUAUUGCACAAUGGGCGCAAGCCUGAUGCAGCCAUGCCGCGUGUAUGAAGAAGGCCUUCGGGUUGUAAAGUACUUUCAGUCGUGAGGAAGGUGUUAAGGUUAAUAACCUUAGCAAUUGACGUUAGCGACAGAAGAAGCACCGGCUAACUCCGUGCCAGCAGCCGCGGUAAUACGGAGGGUGCGAGCGUUAAUCGGAAUUACUGGGCGUAAAGGGCACGCAGGCGGUUAAUUAAGUUGGAUGUGAAAUCCCCGGGCUUAACCUGGGAAUGGCAUUCAAGACUGGUUAGCUAGAGUCUUGUAGAGGGGGUAGAAUUCCGAUGUGUAGCGGUGAAAUGCGUAGAGAUGUGGAGGAAUACCGGUGGCGAAGGCGGCCCCUGGACAAAGGCUGACGCUCAUGUGCGAAAGCGUGGGGAGCAAAC
Molecule: ribosomal RNA, 440 nt
Filed under: uncultured bacterium
Lineage: Bacteria
Description: bacterial SSU rRNA
Rfam family: Bacterial small subunit ribosomal RNA
Source: RNAcentral